Long non-coding RNA from Mya arenaria, 169 nucleotides. RefSeq lists it as uncharacterized. The transcript has 2 exons. The record is from RefSeq and is a predicted model, not a curated record. Lineage: Eukaryota; Metazoa; Mollusca; Bivalvia; Myida; Myidae.
GUCUGCAAUGUUUUCUGGCUGCGCAGCAUAUCCAAACGCCACCUGCCACUCCAAUUACUGCGGAGGGUGCAACGCAGAUUGGUACGUCAAUGAUGUGAAGGUCGAGUGUCAUCCCGCUUCAGUGACUGGACAUGUGAACAUUUGAAAACAAUAAAUAUCUAAACCUAAA